RNAcentral lists this transfer RNA (101 nucleotides) under Phialocephala subalpina. It matches the Rfam family "tRNA". From Rfam's summary of the family: Transfer RNA (tRNA) molecules are approximately 80 nucleotides in length. Their secondary structure includes four short double-helical elements and three loops (D, anti-codon, and T loops). The record is from Rfam by way of RNAcentral. Lineage: Eukaryota; Fungi; Ascomycota; Leotiomycetes; Helotiales; Mollisiaceae.
GGACAGAUGGCCGAGUUGGUUAUGGCGCCAGGUUAAGGUCUUAUCUUAACAGCAGUUUCCUGGUCUCGUUUGAGGCGUGGGUUCGAAUCCCACUCUGUUCA